UUAAAAACUUUCAAUAGCAACAAUUUUCAUUUAAAAAUUCAUCGCCAUGCGCUGGGACCGCGACAAUGUGCCCCAAAACGUGGCAAGGCUGUGGGCUGAGGAGACGCAGCGUGUCGUGUUGCUGCUGCUGCUGUUGAUGGCCAUUGAAGCGGCAAACAAAAGUGACAAACAGAUUUAUUAAAACUGUAAAUCUGCAUUGUUCGCUUAGUUUGUCUAACAACAAAUUGCAACAGAAAACCGUUUCGAACGUUAUUGACGUUGCGUCUGUUAGUGACGCAGCGCAGCCAACUUCAAGCCGAUCUCGCCGCUAUUGAGAGCUCUACAGAUAGUUCCGUUAUUUGGCAGUAAAGAGCGUAUUUCAAGAGCGUGUGACGUCACAAUUUCGGCUUGUGCUUUGCUAGGCUCUCUCAAUCGCAGAUGUAGCGUUGCCAACUUUUAAUAUUUUUUUCUGUUCCUAAAUUGUGAGUUCUUGAAUAUAAAUGCGCCACAAUGCAAAUUAAA
Molecule: long non-coding RNA, 501 nt
Organism: Drosophila virilis
Lineage: Eukaryota; Metazoa; Arthropoda; Insecta; Diptera; Drosophilidae
Source: RefSeq, a predicted model, not a curated record